GUGGGGAAUAUUGGACAAUGGGCGAAAGCCUGAUCCAGCCAUGCCGCGUGAGUGAUGAAGGCCUUAGGGUUGUAAAGCUCUUUCAGUAGGGAAGAUAAUGACGGUACCUACAGAAGAAGCCCCGGCUAACUUCGUGCCAGCAGCCGCGGUAAUACGAAGGGGGCUAGCGUUGUUCGGAUUUACUGGGCGUAAAGCGCACGUAGGCGGAUCGUUAAGUCGGGGGUGAAAUCCUGGAGCUCAACUCCAGAACUGCCUUCGAUACUGGCGAUCUUGAGUCCGGAAGAGGUGAGUGGAACUCCUAGUGUAGAGGUGGAAUUCGUAGAUAUUAGGAAGAACACCAGUGGCGAAGGCGGCUCACUGGUCCGGUACUGACGCUGAGGUGCGAAAGCGUGGGGAGCAAACAGGAUUAGAUACCCGAGUAGUCC
Molecule: ribosomal RNA, 425 nt
Filed under: uncultured bacterium
Lineage: Bacteria
Description: partial 16S ribosomal RNA
Rfam family: Bacterial small subunit ribosomal RNA
Source: RNAcentral